This 405-nucleotide ribosomal RNA is filed under the name uncultured bacterium. RNAcentral's name for it is "bacterial SSU rRNA". It matches the Rfam family "Bacterial small subunit ribosomal RNA", at positions 29 to 438 of the family's 1533-position model. The record is from RNAcentral.
AUUGAACGCUGGCGGAAUGCUUUACACAUGCAAGUCGAGCGGCAGCGCGGGGCAACCUGGCGGCGAGCGGCGAACGGGUGAGUAACAUAUCGGAACGUACCCAGUCGUGGGGGAUAACUAUCCGAAAGGAUAGCUAAUACCGCAUACGACCUGAGGGUGAAAGCGGGGGACCGAAAGGCCUCGCGCGAUUGGAGCGGCCGAUAUCGGAUUAGCUAGUUGGUGAGGUAAAGGCUCACCAAGGCGACGAUCCGUAGCUGGUCUGAGAGGACGACCAGCCACACUGGAACUGAGACACGGUCCAGACUCCUACGGGAGGCAGCAGUGGGGAAUUUUGGACAAUGGGGGCAACCCUGAUCCAGCCAUUCCGCGUGAGUGAAGAAGGCCUUCGGGUUGUAAGCUCUUCGG